This 423-nucleotide ribosomal RNA is filed under the name Triticum aestivum (bread wheat). Its description in RNAcentral is "partial small subunit ribosomal RNA". Lineage: Eukaryota; Viridiplantae; Streptophyta; Magnoliopsida; Poales; Poaceae. The record is from RNAcentral.
AUGAGGAUGAAGGUCGCCUUCUUCAACAUGACUAAAUUCAUUGUUGGGAAUGGACGUGAUACUAGAUUUUGGGAGGAUACCUGGUUAGGAGAAUCCCCGCUGGCCUUGCAGUAUCCAUCCCUUUACAACAUUGCACAACAGAAAGAGGUCUCCGUUGCUACAGUGUUGGGAUCCAUUCCUCUUAACAUGCAGUUUCGGCGGUCAGUUAUAGGUGAGUGGUGGGAUAGAUGGCUACAUCUUGUGCGUAGGUUAAUGGAGGUUAACCUGUCGGAUGUACCAGACACUCUGCAAUGGAAGCUCUCCAGGUCAGGAGUUUUCUCGGUUAAAUCCAUGUACACGGAUUUGAUUAAUAUCGGGACUAUCCUGAGGACGGUUCAUAUUUGGAAAGUUAAGGUGCCUUUGAAAAUAAAAGUGCUUAUGUGA